UUAUUACUUCCUCCGUUCUAAAUUACUCGUCACAGAAAUGAAUGUAUCUAAAAUUAAAAUACAUCUAGAUACAUUUAUACCUGCAACAAGUAAUUUGAAACGGAGGGAGUAUGUG
This is a non-coding RNA of Triticum urartu, 115 nucleotides long. The record is from Rfam. NCBI's taxonomy places the organism in Eukaryota, Viridiplantae, Streptophyta, Magnoliopsida, Poales, Poaceae.